RNAcentral lists this unclassified non-coding RNA (173 nucleotides) under Fusarium tricinctum. RNAcentral's name for it is "ITS2". Lineage: Eukaryota; Fungi; Ascomycota; Sordariomycetes; Hypocreales; Nectriaceae. The record is from RNAcentral.
CCUGUUCGAGCGUCAUUUCAACCCUCAAGCCCCCGGGUUUGGUGUUGGGGAUCGGCUCUGCCCUUCUGGGCGGUGCCGCCCCCGAAAUACAUUGGCGGUCUCGCUGCAGCCUCCAUUGCGUAGUAGCUAACACCUCGCAACUGGAACGCGGCGCGGCCAUGCCGUAAAACCCC